This 2125-nucleotide long non-coding RNA is filed under the name Ananas comosus (pineapple). RNAcentral describes it as "long non-coding RNA (ACOM_LNC042727)". The record is from RNAcentral. Lineage: Eukaryota; Viridiplantae; Streptophyta; Magnoliopsida; Poales; Bromeliaceae.
CAAAAAGGGCUUUCUUGGCAAACUAAUUCUAUUUUAUCCUGCUCAUUAUAAUAAUAAAAAAAAAUUUAAAAUAUCAUUCAUAUAAUUUCAUACGUUCUCACCUUAAUACUUUAUGAUUUAGAGUUUAUCAACUAAGUAUUCUAUAAUUUUAUUUUAUUUUUUUAUUAUCGAUUUUAUUAUUUUUUUCGUUAAAUCAGAGAUAAAUUAAAACUAAAGGGUACUAAAAUAUAUAUUUGAUAAAUCUAGGUAGGGUAUCUGAAAUUUUUAUAUAUAAUUUAAUGAAAUAUUAACGAGAAAGCGGAAGAAAAGAUAAAAAUGAAACACAUGACACUAACUUGAUAUACUUUAAACCAUAGAGUACUAAAGUGAGAAAGUACGAAAUUACAUGGGUGGUAUUCGAAGUUUACCCAAAUAAAUGAAAAGACAUGGAUUACUCACCAUCUUUAAAAAUUUUAAAUUAGUACUCUCAUUUGUGAAAUUAAUUUGUGGACAGUUAGAAUUUUCAUAGGAUUUUAUUAACAUUAUAUGUUGGUUUGUUGGAAUUUUUGUUUAGCUGUUAUGAUUAUAUUGCGGGUUGUUAAAAUUUUUGUUAGUUUUUAGAAUUAUAAAUUAGUUGUUGGGAUAUUUAUGUGAUUAUUAAGAUUGUAUAUAAAGAAUAUACAGUCCCGAAAAAUUUAUCAUUUGCUUAUUAGUAGAACUAAGUUAAGUGUAAAUUAUAUUAAAUUAUAGUUUAAUAAAAACUAAUAUUAAAUAUGAUUAUAUAAAGGGUAAUUUUAGAAUAAUUAUAUUUUAUUGUAAGGAUUAUUGAAUUUUAUAAAAACAAGCCAAACAUAAUAAUUCAUAUACAUUAUAAUUCAGCAUUAUAUUAUAUAUUAAACAAAGUAUGAUAAUGCAGGAUCAAUGGUAAUCUGAUUCACAAAACUCAAAUAACUGGAUAUGUCGAAAUAACGUAUAAUAUUACAUAACACGAAACGUGCUCUAAAGAAAAAAUUAGUAAACCAUUUAUUAUUUUUUAUGUUUUAUUAAAAAGAAAAAUAAAAUUGCAUAAAAAAUCCACUAGUUUUGCCCUUUUGCAAAAGUGGGCCAACUUUUUCGAUUUUGUAGAUUCGGGCCGAAUGUUUAGUAAACUGACCAAAAUACCCUUAUACUUUUUUCUCUCUGCUUUUUUUUCUUCUCGCGUUCUUUUUUUUUCUCGCCGAAGAAGGCGACGGAGGCGAAGGCGGAAACGACCCACAUCAUUUCUGCACCUCAUGCCCUCACUCUCACCCUCGUCCGCGCACCUCUCGCCCUACUCGCCUCCGAGCCCGCCGAGGCAGCGCUGCGACUGUUGAUACCAAAAAAUAACACGCCGACCUAACCCACGUAUAAGCCAAAAAAAAUAAGGACACAUGAUACACCAGGAGUCGGCAAUAAGGCGUCUGAAGCUCAAGAGCGUUUAGGCGGGAACGGUUGAGAAGUAGGGCGUAACUUCCAUAAGAAGUGUGGCACAACUUCUAUGAUCAUGGCUAUACCACUUUUCCCACUACUAUAACUAACCAAUAAUGUGGGCUGAUAAGAUAUUAUAAAUAGUAACUUUGAAACCUGUAAUAGGAGUCUUUCUCUCCCUUGAACGAGAAGACCACCGCAUUUUCAAUAUUUUUCUUUUCUGCAUUUAUCGUUUUCAAGGAAUAGUCUACCUGUAAUCUUUUUUAUCCGCAUUUACUGCUUUCCUAGUAGUUUUUAAGUUAUAUCUCUGGAGUUCGUAUGCCCCACAGGCACACUUUGUUGUAAUCUAGAUUUUCAGAGUCUGUAUACCCUUCGGGCAUACUCUACUUUAUUAAUAUAUAAAGGCAUUCGGCUAUUUCAGUCGACCAGUCACUGUGUAUUCUAUAUAUUCGGCUCAUCAGCCGACCCAAAAUUCUGUGUAUUUUAUCAGUUCGGCUCAUCUAGCCGAACCGAUUCUAUAGUAAAGGUUUUCGAACUCGGCUGAUCCGAUCCCUCAUCAGCCGAAUCACUUGAUCCAGUCGAAGGGCACAAACUUCGAGGGUCACUAAUCAUAGCCGUUUUGCAUCCUGACGCGCUUUUUAAGGAGGAUCUUUGACCAGGUCAAGGAUCAGGAAAUUCGGCUCCCAACAAUUUUUGGCAC